AACGCACCUUGCGCUCCUUGGUAUUCCGAGGAGCAUGCCUGUUUGAGUGUCAUUAAAUUCUCAACCCUUGUUAACUUUUUAGUUAGUAAGUGGAUUGGAAGUGGGGGCAUGUUGGUUUCUUCAUUGAAAUGAACUCCCCUGAAAUGCAUUAGCUGGUUGCCUUGUGCAAACAUGUCUAUUGGUGUGAUAAUUAUCUACGCCGUGGGCUAUUUGCCGUUUAUAGCACUGCUUAUAAUCGUCUGUUCAUUCAGACAAUACAUGACAAUUUGACCUCAAAUCAGGUAGGACUACCCGCUGAACUUAA
This 304-nucleotide unclassified non-coding RNA is filed under the name uncultured Agaricales. RNAcentral describes it as "sequence contains 5.8S rRNA gene, ITS2, 28S rRNA gene". The stretch from base 1 to 52 matches the Rfam family "5.8S ribosomal RNA", at positions 103 to 154 of the family's 154-position model. The record is from RNAcentral. Lineage: Eukaryota; Fungi; Basidiomycota; Agaricomycetes; Agaricales.